This is a long non-coding RNA of Drosophila ficusphila, 737 nucleotides long. RefSeq lists it as uncharacterized. The record is from RefSeq and is a predicted model, not a curated record. The transcript is spliced from 3 exons. Lineage: Eukaryota; Metazoa; Arthropoda; Insecta; Diptera; Drosophilidae.
UAAUACACCUUUCGGAGCUAAUAUCAAAAACAAACAAAAAAAAUCUAAAUUUUCGGUCAACAUUUUUGUGAUAAGUUUGAAUUUAGUUUUAAGCAUAAAGUGAAUUUUGUAAGUGGGAUCAAAACGUAUCAAUCGUAAAACUUAACCGUCGUCAAUCUGUUGCUAAGGUUAUGUCAAACAGCCUCGUCAUCAUCUAAACAAUUAACGCAAACUGAUCAAACGCAUACACAGUCAAGCCACCACAAGAAAUGCCUACACGGAUGUUCAAAACAUUAGAGCCUAAUGAUUGUCAUCAUCUAACUAAAUAGGAAAUACUGCUGUCAAAAAUAUAGUUAAACUGUUGCUUGCCAUUGUUUCUAUAUUGGUCACUACGAAAAAUACUAAAUGGAUGUUCACAACGUUAAGUAAAUUCCGCACAAGCCGGUCAAACAUAAAAAAACUGGAAAACAAAGCUUUUCAAAAUUAUUCGUACGCUAAAGAAGCCAAAAUCGCAAACAAAUCCAUAAAAUAUCGAUAAAAAUUGAAUUUAAAGGUGAAGCAAAAGUCAUCACUAAACCAAUUCUUUGAAUUCGGGAAUGUAAGGAAGUCAAACUACCGAGCUGUGCACCACCACAAUCUACUAAGCACUAUAUUGGAUCUUGUCCCUGCUCUUUGUGUCCGGCACUAUUAUUGUCUACUUUAUGGCCAUCUAUUUGUGGAGACACUAUCUAACAAAAAUACACUUGCAUAGAAGCAAA